This 1430-nucleotide ribosomal RNA is filed under the name Kocuria rosea subsp. polaris. RNAcentral's name for it is "bacterial SSU rRNA". It matches the Rfam family "Bacterial small subunit ribosomal RNA". The record is from RNAcentral. Lineage: Bacteria; Bacillati; Actinomycetota; Actinomycetes; Micrococcales; Micrococcaceae.
CAGGGGGGCGUGCUUACCAUGCAAGUCGAACGAUGAUGCCCAGCUUGCUGGGUGGAUUAGUGGCGAACGGGUGAGUAAUACGUGAGUAACCUGCCCUUGACUCUGGGAUAAGCCUGGGAAACUGGGUCUAAUACUGGAUACUACCGUCCACCGCAUGGUGGGUGGUGGAAAGGGUUUUACUGGUUUUGGAUGGGCUCACGGCCUAUCAGCUUGUUGGUGGGGUAAUGGCUCACCAAGGCGACGACGGGUAGCCGGCCUGAGAGGGUGACCGGCCACACUGGGACUGAGACACGGCCCAGACUCCUACGGGAGGCAGCAGUGGGGAAUAUUGCACAAUGGGCGGAAGCCUGAUGCAGCGACGCCGCGUGAGGGAUGACGGCCUUCGGGUUGUAAACCUCUUUCAGUAGGGAAGAAGCGAGAGUGACGGUACCUGCAGAAGAAGCGCCGGCUAACUACGUGCCAGCAGCCGCGGUAAUACGUAGGGCGCAAGCGUUGUCCGGAAUUAUUGGGCGUAAAGAGCUCGUAGGCGGUUUGUCGCGUCUGCUGUGAAAGCCCGGGGCUCAACCCCGGGUCUGCAGUGGGUACGGGCAGACUAGAGUGCAGUAGGGGAGACUGGAAUUCCUGGUGUAGCGGUGAAAUGCGCAGAUAUCAGGAGGAACACCGAUGGCGAAGGCAGGUCUCUGGGCUGUUACUGACGCUGAGGAGCGAAAGCAUGGGGAGCGAACAGGAUUAGAUACCCUGGUAGUCCAUGCCGUAAACGUUGGGCACUAGGUGUGGGGGACAUUCCACGUUUUCCGCGCCGUAGCUAACGCAUUAAGUGCCCCGCCUGGGGAGUACGGCCGCAAGGCUAAAACUCAAAGGAAUUGACGGGGGCCCGCACAAGCGGCGGAGCAUGCGGAUUAAUUCGAUGCAACGCGAAGAACCUUACCAAGGCUUGACAUUCACCGGACCGCCUCAGAGAUGGGGUUUCCCUUCGGGGCUGGUGGACAGGUGGUGCAUGGUUGUCGUCAGCUCGUGUCGUGAGAUGUUGGGUUAAGUCCCGCAACGAGCGCAACCCUCGUUCUAUGUUGCCAGCACGUGAUGGUGGGGACUCAUAGGAGACUGCCGGGGUCAACUCGGAGGAAGGUGGGGAUGACGUCAAAUCAUCAUGCCCCUUAUGUCUUGGGCUUCACGCAUGCUACAAUGGCCGGUACAAAGGGUUGCGAUACUGUGAGGUGGAGCUAAUCCCAAAAAGCCGGUCUCAGUUCGGAUUGAGGUCUGCAACUCGACCUCAUGAAGUCGGAGUCGCUAGUAAUCGCAGAUCAGCAACGCUGCGGUGAAUACGUUCCCGGGCCUUGUACACACCGCCCGUCAAGUCACGAAAGUUGGUAACACCCGAAGCCGGUGGCCUAACCCCUUGUGGGAGGGAGCCGUCGAAGGUGGAACGGGGC